Molecule: ribosomal RNA, 484 nt
Filed under: uncultured bacterium
Lineage: Bacteria
Description: partial 16S ribosomal RNA
Rfam family: Bacterial small subunit ribosomal RNA
Source: RNAcentral
AGUGAACGCUGGCGGCAGGCCUAACACAUGCAAGUCGAGCGGCAGCGGGUCCUUCUGGAUGCCGGCGAGCGGCGGACGGGUGAGGAAUGCAUCGGAAUCUGCCCUGUCGUGGGGGAUAACCUAGGGAAACUUAGGCUAAUACCGCAUACGACCCACGGGUGAAAUUGGGGGAUCGCAAGACCUCGCGCGAUAGGAUGAGCCGAUGUCCGAUUAGCUAGUUGGCGGGGUAAAGGCCCACCAAGGCGACUAUCGGUAGCUGGUCUGAGAGGAUGAUCAGCAAAACUGGAACUGAGACACGGCCCAGACUCCUACGGGAGGCAGAAGUGGGGAAUAUUGGACAAUGGGCGAAAGCCUGAUCCAGCAAUGCCGCGUGGGUGAAGAAGGCCUUCGGGUUGUAAAGCCCUUUUGUCCGGGAAGAAAUCGUCUGGGCUAAUACCCCGGGCGGAUGACGGUACCGGAAGAAUAAGCACCGGCUAACUUCGUG